This 386-nucleotide long non-coding RNA is filed under the name Vulpes vulpes (red fox). Its description in RNAcentral is "lncRNA (ENSVVUG00000004540.1)". Lineage: Eukaryota; Metazoa; Chordata; Mammalia; Carnivora; Canidae. The record is from RNAcentral.
GAAAGGGCUCCAUAAUGAAUCUUCUGGCAGGUUUGAGAGAAAGAAGCAGCUGGGUACUCAUGGCAGUAAAACAUAGUGGAACCUACUGUGUCUGAAAUCCCAUGACAAGCAAGGAAGCACUCUGCAGGCAUGAUCAGGAGAGGAGGAGAGGGCAGGAGAAUGAGUCACUGCAGGAUAAUGUCACUGAGGAAGGUGGAGGCUCUCUGGAAGACUAGGCACGCUGAAGAGACUAUAUUAGCUGGCCCAUGAUUUGAGGAGAGAGGAACAAGCAAAACGGAGCAAGAGGAAAGACUGCCCUAAGCCAGAAGCAGCAGCAAGAAGAGCAGAAAAGUAUGAGGCAGGAGUGGAAUGGCAUAGAGAUAAGCCCACUCAUGGUAAACUGUCAG